RNAcentral lists this ribosomal RNA (495 nucleotides) under uncultured bacterium. RNAcentral's name for it is "partial 16S ribosomal RNA". It matches the Rfam family "Bacterial small subunit ribosomal RNA", at positions 28 to 507 of the family's 1533-position model. The record is from RNAcentral.
GACGAACGCUGGCGGCGUGCCUAAUACAUGCAAGUAGAACGCUGAAGGAGGAGCUUGCUCUUCUGGAUGAGUUGCGAACGGGUGAGUAACGCGUAGGUAACCUGCCUGGUAGCGGGGGAUAACUAUUGGAAACGAUAGCUAAUACCGCAUAACAGUAGAUGUUGCAUGACAUUUACUUAAAAGGUGCAAUUGCAUCACUACCAGAUGGACCUGCGUUGUAUUAGCUAGUUGGUGGGGUAACGGCUCACCAAGGCGACGAUACAUAGCCGACCUGAGAGGGGGGACGGCCACAAUGGGAACGGGAAAACGCCCAGAAUUCUACGGGAGGGAGCAGGAGGGAAACUUCGGGAAUUGACGGAAGGCUGAACGAGCAAAGGCGGGUGAGGGAAGGAGGGUCUCGGAUCGGAAAGCUCCGUUGUAAGAGAAGAACGAGUGUGAGAGUGGAAAGUUCACACUGUGACGGUAUCUUACCAGAAAGGGACGGCUAACUACGUG